AGGCUUAACACAUGCAAGUCGAACGGUAGCAGGAGGAAGCUUGCUUUCUUGCUGACGAGUGGCGGACGGGUGAGUAAUGCUUGGGAAUCUGGCUUAUGGAGGGGGAUAACUACUGGAAACGGUAGCUAAUACCGCGUAAUAUCGUAAGAUUAAAGGGUGGGACUUUCGGGCCACCUGCCAUAAGAUGAGCCCAAGUGGGAUUAGGUAGUUGGUGGGGUAAAGGCCUACCAAGCCUGCGAUCUCUAGCUGGUCUGAGAGGAUGGCCAGCCACACUGGAACUGAGACACGGUCCAGACUCCUACGGGAGGCAGCAGUGGGGAAUAUUGCACAAUGGGGGGAACCCUGAUGCAGCCAUGCCGCGUGAAUGAAGAAGGCCUUCGGGUUGUAAAGUUCUUUCGGUGAUGAGGAAGGUGUUUUGUUUAAUAGACAAAGCAAUUGACGUUAGUCACAGAAGAAGCACCGGCUAACUCCGUGCCAGCAGCCGCGGUAAUACGGAGGGUGCGAGCGUUAAUCGGAAUAACUGGGCGUAAAGGGCACGCAGGCGGAUUGUUAAGUGAGAUGUGAAAGCCCCGGGCUUAACCUGGGAAUUGCAUUUCAGACUGGCAGUCUAGAGUAUUUUAGGGAGGGGUAGAAUUCCACGUGUAGCGGUGAAAUGCGUAGAGAUGUGGAGGAAUACCGAAGGCGAAGGCAGCCCCUUGGGAAUAUACUGACGCUCACUAGUGCGAAAUGCGUGGGGAGCAAACAGGAUUAGAUAGCCCUGAGUAGUCCACGCUGUAAACGAUGUUGAUUUGGGGCAUUGGGCUUUAAGCUUGGUGACCCGUA
RNAcentral lists this ribosomal RNA (822 nucleotides) under Pasteurellaceae bacterium I3. RNAcentral describes it as "bacterial SSU rRNA". It matches the Rfam family "Bacterial small subunit ribosomal RNA", at positions 44 to 850 of the family's 1533-position model. Lineage: Bacteria; Pseudomonadati; Pseudomonadota; Gammaproteobacteria; Pasteurellales; Pasteurellaceae. The record is from RNAcentral.